GAUGAAGAACGUAGCGAAAUGCGAUAAGUAAUGUGAAUUGCAGAAUUCAGUGAAUCAUCGAAUCUUUGAACGCACCUUGCGCCCUUUGGACAUUCCGAAGGGCAUGCCUGUUUGAGUAUCAUGAACACCUCAACUCUCACGGCUUGUCCGUGAUGAGCUUGGACUUUGGGGGUCUUGCCGGCCUGUGGUCGGCUCCUCUCAAAUGGAUCAGCUUGCCAGUGUUUGGUGGCAUCACAGGUGUGAUAACUAUCUGCGCUUGUGGUUUUCCAUCAGAUAACCUUCAGUGAUAUGGAGGUUCGCUGGAGCUCACAAAUGUCGCUCCUUAGUGAGGACAGCUCUUUGAACGUUUGAUCUCAAAUCAGGUAGGACUACCCGCUGAACUUAAGCAUAUCAAUAAGCGGAGGA
RNAcentral lists this unclassified non-coding RNA (405 nucleotides) under soil metagenome. RNAcentral's name for it is "partial contains 5.8S ribosomal RNA, internal transcribed spacer 2, and large subunit ribosomal RNA". The stretch from base 1 to 121 matches the Rfam family "5.8S ribosomal RNA", at positions 35 to 154 of the family's 154-position model. The record is from RNAcentral.